This is an RNA transcript of Hipposideros armiger (great roundleaf bat), 3716 nucleotides long. It is a transcript of the gene named translation initiation factor IF-2-like, with no coding region annotated. The transcript has 4 exons. NCBI's taxonomy places the organism in Eukaryota, Metazoa, Chordata, Mammalia, Chiroptera, Hipposideridae. The record is from RefSeq and is a predicted model, not a curated record.
UUUAUUAAGACAAUGCAGACAUAAAACACAUCAUAUUGCCAUUCCCAAAUCUUAGCCAUACCACUUAUACCAAUCAAUGGCCAAUAAAUGACUUUCUGUGAUAGAUACAAAUACUCCAUUCAAGUUCAGUUACUAGAAUAGUAUCAGUAUAUCAUGCAGACAGCUUGCAUAAAUACAUGAGGAAUCAUAGCAUACCCUCAAUAGCUUCUGUAAUGUUUAGGCACGAAAACGGUCUUAUUCCAAAUUUCAAAAGAUGGAAUAAAGAAUGUUUUCAUAUAAAACACAUUUGGAAGAGUUGGGGUUUUUUAAAUUAAAAAAGGCAACUAAUCAACCUGCAAUACACACUUGCAAUUCAUCUUCUUAGUUACCAAAUCAGAUAGCCAUGUAAUAUUUUUCAUCUGAGGUAACUGGAUGUGAACAUUUCAGUGAUUUCCAAUAUCAAAGAGCUAAAUUCAAAAUAUUUUUUUCUGAUAAGUGUAAUAUAUUUGUAAUCAAAGGAAGAAAAAAUUGUCAGUCUUUGGGCACUAUUUUCUAUUUUAUCAGAUAAUUGAAAGUCAUUGGUUGUGUCACAGUACAAAAAUCUUGACUCCAUUACCAAUACUCAUUCAUUUACUGCUAAUUUCGAAAUGCGUUUGGACUGGAGGUAUGGAACAAAUGUUACUGCUUAUCAAACAUUGUUUCCUGAAAAUUUUAAUGCACAAAGUUUCCAGAUUUAUAUAUUCUUCAAUAAAUUAUUUUCAAAAUGAAAUGAAAAAAGAAAGGCGAGGGAAGCCUACAGUUUAUAUUCUGGGUGAAUAGCUUUCAGUAUCUUCCAGGUGGGGGCAACAGUAAGUCAGUUUUGAGAAGAGAAGGGAGAAUGGGCUCUUGCAGCUCCCUGAGUCCAGUUACAGAGGAGGAAAUGAUUUCCUGGUAGUAACGCCGUGAAUAAAAUAACCACGAGUUCCCAGAAGCCCAGUUUCCAGGACUUCGGGGACUCUGAGAGGCUAUGCGUGGCAAGGUUCAUGGCCUGGUGCGCCCGCCACCUCUCGGCUUCGCAGGCCAACCGGAGGGCGCACGCGCGCUGCGCACCUGUCGGAUAGCGCACAGUUGCGGUCGGUUGGUGUGUCCAGCCGACCCGCUCCCCGCCGCGCCGUGCCCCCAGGGAGUUGACACUACUCUCUGCGCUCCAGCUCACUCGCUUUCCAGGACCGCCGGGAAGCAGGGAAACCUUUCUCCCGUUUACAUCUCAUUCAUUCUUCCUCUGGACAAUUCAAAUCCAUUCACAACUGCUGCAGAUGUGUGCGGCGCGCACCUAUACCCUUAAACUCUACAGUCGAGGCAUCCGAGAAAACCUGCGUCCAGGCGGGGCGGCAGGGGUCCCACUCUCCUUUCCGCCUGUCUUUGCAAAUCCUGGGACUCUGAGGCACCGCUGAGCACUCUGGCGAGGAUGAGGGUAAUGCAUGAAGCAGAGGUGGAUCUUGCACACCCCCCGGGGAGAUGAACUCCCCACCGGCAUCCCCGCCUUCUCGAUUUUCCAGCGUGGAGGAGGCGAGGCGUGGAAAGCCCGAGAGGCGCGCAAACCAGGCCCCGCAGUGGCGGGGCGACCAGGGGCACCGCAGCGAGGGGCGGAGAAGCUCGAGUUCGCGGAGCCAGAAGCCCCCUCCUCUAAGGCCUCCCGGAGCUGGAGAGGGGGGUGGGGUGGGAGGUCCGGCGUGCGGCCAGCUACGUGUCGCUCCUCCGCGCGCCGCUCGCCGCGGCCGCCCGAGCCCUCGGGCCGCCGCCGCCGCCGCCCCGUCGGGCCGGUACUUGAGCCAACAGAUAAUCCAAGUGACGACCACCGAGAAGAGCGCCAGGAUGCUGGCCACCGACAGGCAGAUGGGCCCCACGGGGGAGGGCGACCCUGCCGCCGGGGCCGCGCCAGGGGGCGCCCCGCCGCCGGGGGCUCCCCCGCCGCCUCCACCGCUGUAGUGGUUGACGAAGAUGAGGCCGGUGAAGAGCAGCACCACCAUGGAGAGGAAGGAGAAGACCACGCACACGCAGCCGGCGAAGCAUUGCUUCCUGAGCUUGAAGGAGACGCGGAGACACAGAUUCAGCCAGGUCGUGCCGAUGUCCAGACGCUGACCGCAGGCAAUGGAGGUUGCACCUCACCCUAUGAAGAGAGACGCCUCCUCGCCAACAAACAAGGGGCCGAGGGUGGUUGUCUGGGGCCCCUGAGCUGGGGAUGUUCCCACUUCCUCCGGAUUCUGUGCAGAAGACAGCAGGACACCCCGGGGAAUAUCUGUGGGAAGGAAGAAUGAAUGGGAAAGAAGCCGAAGGAAAAGAAAGAAGCCACUAACCACCAGUGUACAGGCAAGAGGAGGAAUUGUCAUAACCCCUAGAGGCAGUCUGCACUCCCGGGCUUGUGGCCACAUCACUCCAAGCUCACAUCUCCUCUCUCUGACUCUGGCCUUCCUGCUUCCCUCUUAUAAGGACCCUGUGAUUACGUUGGGCCCGUUGGAUAAUCCAGGAUAUGCUCCCCAUCUCAAGACCUAUAACUUAAUCACAUCUGCAAAGUCCUUUUUGCAGGCAUAUGAGGUAAGAUAGUCAUAGGUUCUUGGGAUUAGGAGGUGGAUCUUUAGGGGCCAUUUUUCUCUUGACCACAUAAGCUCUACAGCCGCAACAAGGCUGCUCACAGUUGGUGACUGGCUCCUACAUUGCAGCUGCCCCAGGCCCACUUAGCUGCAAAGGGCCUGAGAGGAUCAAUAUCACCCAAUCCUUUAUGGGCCACCAAUGGGCUGUAGUAAACCAGCUAGACAACUUGACUAUAAAAUGUAUCAUCAUGUGAAAGCACAUUUCUUGCCGGCCCCUGCGUUUAUUUUCCUGACAACGUCCUGCUGCAGCCAGUCUCCUGUGCUGCCUGGAGUGCUGAGGAAAUAACACCCCCAGGAGCAGCCUGCAAGCAAAGACUAAUGGGAGUGGGUGCGUACCCCAGCUCCCUCGCCCCUCCAGCGGAGAUAAUUCUGAGGCAUGUGCUCUCUCCCUGCUCUCAGUUUCCCCAGCAGAAUUUAGCUCCAGACACUCGCAGUGGUAGCUGGGUUGACAGGACACCCUUUACUGGCUGUUUUCCCUUCCUUGCUUCCUGUUUCUGUUCCCCUACUGGUGUUUCCUUGGGAUCACCUCUUAUCUCAGGGUCUGUUUCUGGGGGAACACAAGUUAAAAUCUGGGGAAAUGCUUUGAAAGGAAAGGGGAGUAGGAAAAGAAUGUUUAGACACAUGUACAAAGAUUUUUCUGUUGAACGCCUCUUGAAGUAAAAACUGGGGGGGGGGUGUAACAGUAACCCAUAGACUUAUUUCAGGGAAUUCCAGGUCCUGAAGGCUUGUGUUUCACUUCCAAGGUGUAUCCUGGGUAUUGAGGCAAAAAAGCAUUAAUAAAAGUGAGCCUAAAGGGGGAUUGCCCAGGCCUGCAUCCCCUCCCCGGGAACAUCCCAGGCUCAUUCCCUAGAAAUAACUCAAGCUGUCCAAACACUCCUAAAAAGAGGAGAUAAGACCCAACUGGUAUUAACUGGUUCCUCACAUGUGUGCAAACUGCUGAAACCUGUCUGUUAUUUGAACUCUGGUUUAUUAUAAUACAAUUAAAAUGAAAUGAACAGUAAGGCUUGCUCCCCCAUGGGCUUUUCUGUAUGCAUUCUGGGUAAGAACAUGUACAGAAAGAAACUAGUUCUAUAACCAACACAGGACAAUCAAAUGACCUCAGUCUAU